This 638-nucleotide long non-coding RNA is filed under the name Nicotiana tabacum (common tobacco). Its description in RNAcentral is "long non-coding RNA (NTAB_LNC004209)". The record is from RNAcentral. Lineage: Eukaryota; Viridiplantae; Streptophyta; Magnoliopsida; Solanales; Solanaceae.
UCAGUUCCCUGAUCUUUACAUAGGAAAUCAUUUUUUCUUCCCCGCAGUCCAUCCAAUUUUUUCCCUUCCUUCCUGUUAGUAACUCUUACCUGUUUUCUUGGAUAUGAAGGAGGCUAUCGCAGAUCAAGAGAAGGCCCUGUUGUAAUUACAUUUGAAGGAAAGGUAAAGACCUCUUGAUGAAGAUGUCACAUCAGUUUUGAAGCAUUUUCUUUUUUCAUCAACUUGAAUAGAAUAUGUUGUGUUGCUGUAGGAUCUAUCAAGAAUAGAAGCUGCUUCUCAGUCAUUGUGCCAGAAAUUUCACGCCGGUGCAUUCUCUGAAAUUGAGUGACAUGCAUUUUCCACUGUUUCCAAUCAUCAUCCUUCUUGGCUUGCAUAUCCAAGUUAUAUUUGCCUAAAAUGGCCUCUAAAUCUUGGACUUACAAAUGCCAAAAAGGAGAUUGAAGGUUUAAUGACUUCCCCGGAACAAUGAAGGAGAAGGAUGGGCUCACCAGAAAGAAAAGAAAAAGGAUCAAGAGGAAAAUAAUUUGCUCGAAAAUGAAAGAGAAAGGAGUAGCUUUGUUUCAGCUCGUCGACUGCAACUCUAAUGCCAAUAUUAACUAUUUCUUUCAUACAGUUUAAGACACAAUUACUUAAAGCUU